UCACUCCAUGCUUAAAAAGGUGUAUUCUAAGCUAGCCAAUCUUUUCUAGUCACCUCUCAAAACCCUUCUUCUAUCUUUGUUUCUGUGUGAUAAAAAUGGUCAUUCUCAUCCCACAAGAUCAUAUUUCACCCCAUGCUUAACACGGUGUAUUCUAAGCUAACUCCUUCUAUUCACCUCUCAAAACCCUUCUUCUCCCUUUGUUUCUGUGUGAUAAAAACAGUCAUUCUCAUCCCACAAGAUCAUAUUUCACCCCAUGCUUAAAAAGGUGUAUUCUAAGCUAGCCAAUCUUUUCUAUUCCCCUCUCAAAACCCUUCUAGCUUUGUUUCUGUGUGAUAAAAACAGUCAUUCUCAUCCCACAAGAUCAUAUGUCACCCCAUGCUUAAAAAGGUGUAUUCUAAGCUAACUCUUUCUAUUUCUCUCUCAAAACCCUUCUUCUACCUUUGUUUCUGUGUGAUAAAAACAGUCAUUCUCAUCCCACAAGAUCAUAUGUCACCCCAUGCUUAAAAAGGUGUAUUCUAAGCUAACUCUUUCUAUUUCUCUCUCAAAACCUUUCUUCUACCUUUGUUUCUGCGUGAUAAAAACAGUCAUUCUCAUCCCGCAAGAUCAUAUUUCACCCCAUGCUUAACAAGGUGUAUUCUAAGCUACCCAACCUUUCCUACUCCUCUUAAAACCUUCCUAGCCUUGUUCUUUAAGUGAUGGAAACUAUGUUAACUUCAGCAUACAAGAACAUAUUUUACACAAUACUUAACAAGGUGUACUCUAAGCUAGCCAACCUUUCCAACUCUUCUCAAAACCCUUCUUCUGGCCUUAAGUGUGGUAAAGGUUAUGUUAUCCUCAGCACAUAAGAUCAUACUUCCCACCAUACUUAAAGACAUAUUCUAAGCUAGCCAACCCUUUCUAGUCACUUCUCAAACACUUUCUUCCAGCCUUGUUUCUGUAAGUAUGGUAAAAAACUAUAUGUCAACUGCAUCAUCUGUAAAUACACUCACAUGGAAGAUGCAACAGGGAUAGACAGCUGUAAUAUCCUCGAGGGAAACACUUGCGGAAGAGUUUGAAAUGAAGAAGUACAAAUAUUAUAAAGUUACCAUAUUAUCCCACCUCCGAUCAUAGUCAUACCAAAUACACAGGAUAGAGUUUGACAGAAAAAAGUCCUAUGGUUGUGGGGCCCAGGUCUGAGGCGUGCAUUCUCAUACUCUGGCAACCUGAUGUCUUACAGCAUUUCUGAUAUCCGGGAUAAUGUAUGAUAGCCUCUGCAUAGGAAACAGUUGUAUCAAUAAUAUGCAGGAAACAAUAACAAAUGAGGAGGGUAUCAGGACACCUCUGCUCCCGAAAUUGACCUAUCUUUCGGCCACUCCAAGCUUGACUCUUUUGAAGGAGCAGUGAGUAGCGGGCUUUUUUUUUUCAUUAUUGUUCCCCUUUUUUUUUGCCCUUGAACUGCUUCCUCUAUUGUAAAAAAAUAUAUAUAUACUGUUAAUUUUGAGUUGAAAAAUAUUACAUCUGUCGCAGUUGGCUGUUUUGUAAAUUUAAAGCCUACUACUUAUGUCAGCGGAAGGCAGUGCCAAGGCUGUUAAAUAGUUAUAAUCAGCAAUCUUAUGAAUUAUCAGAACAGCUGUAUGGAGCACUCCUAAUAUUCUUUAACUAAAAAAUUUAAUAUAAUUGACAACAUUUGUUAUUGUUGCCUGCAACAUAUUUAUGCUACGGUCCUAAGGUCGGCAGUGACUGUAUAUAGACCAUUUAUUUUGGGGGAGCUACUCUUCAAAUACUGCUGCCGUCUAAGGGUUAAAGAUAAUGAUGACUGUUUCUUAACCUGUGGGGAUCAUGUUUCUUAACCCGUUCAACAUGAGGAUGCAUAUACUGCGUCCUUGCAUGCCCCGUACCAUAUCCGAGGACGCACAUAUUGCGUCCUGGCUCGCUUUAGCCAAUAUACAAGUUAUUUUAUCUCUACAUUUAUGCUUACAUCUCAAAAUUAUCAAUUAAUUUAUGUUUCUUUAUGUGCACCAUUUAAUUUUGCAUGUUUUCAUAUAUAAUACAUGAUGAUUAUGUUGAGUUUAUGGCUGAAAACUUGUUAUAUUCGAUAGCGACAUUUGAAAUUUGGCAUGUGCGGCGAUCCUGGAUACGGCACGGGGCGCUGUUUGGGCUGGCCGUAGUCAUGGGGUUAAAUUAUGACUCACGCAAACCAUUUCAUAAUACAUAUCAAUGCAUUUGUGAUCAGUUUAUGCAUCCUCUAUUUUUGGGAGUUUACAUCAUGUCAAAAAUUUGGCCCGUCGCUGCUACACAGUAAAGCCACAAAUUUGGCCCGUCGCUGUUACACAGUAAAGCCACAAAUUUGGCCUGUUACUGCUACACAGUAAAGCCACAAAUUUGGCCCGUCGCUGCUACACAGUAAAGCCACAAAUUUGGCCCGUCGCUGCUACACAGUAAAGCCACAAAUUUGGCCCGUCGCUGUUACACAGUAAAGCCACAAAUUUGGCCUGUUACUGCUACACAGUAAAGCCACAAAUUUGGCCCGUCGCUGCUACACAGUAAAGCCACAAAUUUGGCCCGUCGCUGCUACACAGUAAAGCCACAAAUUUGGCCCGUCGCUGCUACACAGUAAAGCCACAAAUUUGGCCUGUCGCUGCUACACAGUAAAGCCACAAAUUUGGCCCGUCGCUGCUACACAGUAAAGCCACAAAUUUGGCCCGUCGCUGCUACACAGUAAAGCCACAAAUUUGGCCCGUCGCUGCUACACAGUAAAGCCACAAAUUUGGCCCAUCGUUGCUACAUGGUAAAGCCACAAAUUUGGCCCGUCGCUGCUACACGGUAAAGCCACAAAUUUGGCCCAUCGCUGCUACACGGUAAAGCCACAAAUUUGGCCCGUCGCUGCUACCGGGUUAAGCGUAGGCUAUUAUAUAUUAUCCACAGAAAUCAGAUAUGCCUUGAGCCAGAUGCCACCUCAGAUUUGGGAGCCAUGAUUAUAAUAUUUGAACAUCAUCAUAACACCAUAUUUCCAAUCCUGCUCAUAUCAAAUACAUAGGAAGGAGUUUGAAAUAAAAGAAGCACAAGUAUUAUAAAGUUAUCCAAUUCUGAUCAUACCAAACAGUACACAAUUUGACAACACUAUAACCAGAUUGGCGAGACCGUUUUGGCGUUGUCUCCCGCGGAUCCUUUCCUCCCCGACACUCUGCCACACAGUCUCUACACCUAUCUCUUCAUCUCGUGUGAUACCUAUAGCUAACAUACGAGAGGAAGAUAGGUGUUGGGUCUGUGGGGUAGAGCAACGCAAACACGGUCUCGACAAUCUGGCUUCACUAAUCUAAUCUAGGAAGCAAACAUUGAUAGUGGGAAUUCAUGAGUUGACCAAUGUGUGAUAUAUACCUCGGAAGCAGAAAGUUGGUUGGAGGCUGUGAAUUAGUGGACUUUUUUUCUUUUUUUUCUUUGGUUGUCGACCCAGAACUGCUUCCUUACCAUAGAGGAAAAAAAUCUAGUGCAUAAUUGAAAAAGGUCAGCAUAUAUGAAAAGCAAAAUGGUACAUAGGAGUGAGAGUAUUGAGGUCAGAGUUCCCUUUGAAAAACUAACUUCCUUACCAUAGAGAGGAAAAAAAUGUAGAGUGCAUAAUUGAAAAAGGUCAGCAUAUAUGAAAAGAAAAAUGGUACAUAAGUGACAGAAUUAAGGUCAGAGUUCCCUUUGAAAAAAACUAGAUAAAAGAGUUGAUUUAGCUGAGAAUGAAUAGUCGCUUCAAACAAUUUAUGGAAUACUUUGUGGAAUUUGAAGUUUUCCUUGAUUUUAACCUUGAGACAUUUCCCUUAUUUUGGCUUGAUUUUAAGUUUGAUAUUUCCUUUGAUUUUAAGCUUAUUUCCCUUAAUUUUGCCUGGAUUUUAAGCUUAAUAUUUCCCUUAAUUUUAAGCUUGACAUUUGCCUUGAUUUUAAGCUUGAUAUUUUCCUUAAUUUUCCCUUGAUUUUAAGCUUGACAUUUCCCUUAAUUUUGCCUUGAUUUUAAGCCUGACAUUUCCCUUGAUUUUAAGCUUGAUAUUUUCCUUAAUUUUCCCUUGAUUUUAAGCUUGACAUUUCCCUUAAUUUUGCCUUGAUUUUAAGCCUGACAUUUCCCUUGAUUUUAAGCUUGAUAUUUUCCUUAAUUUUCCCUUGAUUUUAAGCUUGACAUUUCCCUUAAUUUUGCCUUGAUUUUAAGCCUGAAAUUUCCCUUGAUUUUAUUUAAACUUGAUAUUUUCCUUAAUUUUCCCUUGAUUUUAAGCUUGACAUUUCCCUUUGAUUUUAAGCUUGACAUUUCCCUUAAUUUUAAGCUUGAUAUUUUCCUUAAUUUUAAGCUUGAAAAAAUUAGAAAAUAAAACUCCACUUAGCCAACAACAAAUAGCCACUUAAGACAACAUACACUUUACGGACCUUCUGACAUUUUCCUUGAUUUUCCUCUCUCGGUAUUUUUCACACUUAACACAAAAAACUUUCCCUUAACAGACACAUCAAAACGGC
Molecule: long non-coding RNA, 4467 nt
Organism: Eriocheir sinensis (Chinese mitten crab)
Lineage: Eukaryota; Metazoa; Arthropoda; Malacostraca; Decapoda; Varunidae
Exons: 3
Source: RefSeq, a predicted model, not a curated record